Molecule: ribosomal RNA, 253 nt
Filed under: uncultured bacterium
Lineage: Bacteria
Description: partial 16S ribosomal RNA
Rfam family: Bacterial small subunit ribosomal RNA
Source: RNAcentral
CACGUAGGAGACAAACGUUAUCCGGAGUUACUGGGCGUAAAGGGCGUGUAGGUGGUUGCGUAAGUCUGGCGUGAAAUUUUUCGGCUUAACCGGGAAAGGUCGUCGGAUACUGCGUAGCUAGAGGACGGUAGAGGCGUGUGGAAUUCCGGGUGUAGUGGUGAAAUGCGUAGAGAUCCGGAGGAACACCAGUGGCGAAGGCGACACGCUGGGCCGUACCUGACACUGAUGCGCGAAAGCGUGGGGAGCGAACAGG